GAGCAUGUAGAUCAGUGGUAGAAUAUUUGCUUAGCAUGCACAAGACCCUGCUUGGUUCAAUCCCCAGCACCACA
Molecule: transfer RNA, 74 nt
Filed under: Marmota monax (woodchuck)
Lineage: Eukaryota; Metazoa; Chordata; Mammalia; Rodentia; Sciuridae
Description: tRNA.Ala
Source: RNAcentral